RNAcentral lists this ribosomal RNA (528 nucleotides) under Providencia stuartii. RNAcentral's name for it is "Bacterial large subunit ribosomal RNA". It matches the Rfam family "Bacterial large subunit ribosomal RNA", at positions 735 to 1259 of the family's 2925-position model. Lineage: Bacteria; Pseudomonadati; Pseudomonadota; Gammaproteobacteria; Enterobacterales; Morganellaceae. The record is from Rfam by way of RNAcentral.
CAUGGGCAGGUUGAAGGUUGGGUAACACUAACUGGAGGACCGAACCGACUAAUGUUGAAAAAUUAGCGGAUGACUUGUGGCUGGGGGUGAAAGGCCAAUCAAACCGGGAGAUAGCUGGUUCUCCCCGAAAGCUAUUUAGGUAGCGCCUCGUGAACUCAUCUUCGGGGGUAGAGCACUGUUUCGACUAGGGGGUCAUCCCGACUUACCAACUCGAUGCAAACUACGAAUACCGAAGAAUGUUAUCACGGGAGACACACGGCGGGUGCUAACGUUCGUCGUGAAGAGGGAAACAACCCAGACCGCCAGCUAAGGUCCCAAAGUCAUGGUUAAGUGGGAAACGAAGUGGGAAGGCUCAGACAGCCAGGAUGUUGGCUUAGAAGCAGCCAUCAUUUAAAGAAAGCGUAAUAGCUCACUGGUCGAGUCGGCCUGCGCGGAAGAUGUAACGGGGCUAAACCAUGCACCGAAGCUGCGGCAGCGACAUUUAGAUGUUGUUGGGUAGGGGAGCGUUCUGUAAGCCUGCGAAGGUGU